RNAcentral lists this ribosomal RNA (311 nucleotides) under uncultured eukaryote. Its description in RNAcentral is "partial 18S ribosomal RNA". It matches the Rfam family "Eukaryotic small subunit ribosomal RNA", at positions 1470 to 1796 of the family's 1831-position model. The record is from RNAcentral.
CCCCUAGACGUUCUGGGCUGCACGCGCGCUACAAUAAUACGCACAGCGAGUAUCACCGAGCUCGAAAGGGCAAGGUAAACAAUAGAAAAGGUACUGUAAUGGUUAUAGAUCCUUGUAAUUAUUGAUCUUCAACGAGGAAUUCCUAGUAAGUAUGUGUCAUCAUCACGCACUGAUUACGUCCCUGCCCUUUGUACACACCGCCCGUCGCUCCUACCGAUUGAGUGAGCCGAUGAAACUGCCGGAUGUGGACUAUUCGUAGUCUGCAGAAGAUAUUUGAAUCGUAGCGCUUAGAGGAAGGAGAAGUCGUAACA